RNAcentral lists this ribosomal RNA (440 nucleotides) under uncultured bacterium. RNAcentral describes it as "partial 16S ribosomal RNA". It matches the Rfam family "Bacterial small subunit ribosomal RNA", at positions 338 to 795 of the family's 1533-position model. The record is from RNAcentral.
CCUACGGGUGGCUGCAGUGGGGAAUAUUGCACAAUGGGGGAAACCCUGAUGCAGCGACGCCGCGUGAGUGAAGAAGUAUUUCGGUAUGUAAAGCUCUAUCAGCAGGGAAGAAAAUGACGGUACCUGAUUAAGAAGCCCCGUCUAACUACGUGCCAGCAGCCGCGGUAAUACGUAGGGGGCAAGCGUUAUCCGGAUUUACUGGGGGUAAAGGGAGCGUAGACGGCAGCGCAAGUCUGAAGGGAAAUGCCGGGGCUUAACCCCGGAAUUGCUUUGGAAACUGUGCAGCUAGAGUGCAGGAGAGGUAGGUGGAAUUCGUGGUGUAGCGGUGAAAUGCGUAGAUAUUAGGCGGAACACCAGUGGCGAAGGCGGCUUACUGGACUGUAACUGACGUUGAGGCUCGAAAGCGUGGGGAGCAAACAGGAUUAGAUACCCGUGUAGUC